GAUGAAGAACGCAGCGAAAUGCGAUAAGUAAUGUGAAUUGCAGAUUUCAGUGAAUCAUCGAAUCUUUGAACGCACAUUGCGCCUGCCAGCACUCUGGCAGGCAUGCCUGUUCGAGCGUCAUUUCAACCAUCAAGCCCUAGGCUUGCGUUGGAGCCCUGCGGCUGCCGCAGGCCCCUAAAAGCAGUGGCGGGCUCGCUAUCACACCGAGUGCAGUAGAUUACUCUUCGCUCAGGGCGUGUGGCGGGUUCCAGCCGUGAAACCCCCUACUUCUCAAGGUUGACCUCGGAUCAGGUAGGAAUACCCGCUGAACUUAAGCAUAUCAAUAAGCGGAGGA
RNAcentral lists this unclassified non-coding RNA (334 nucleotides) under soil metagenome. Its description in RNAcentral is "partial contains 5.8S ribosomal RNA, internal transcribed spacer 2, and large subunit ribosomal RNA". The stretch from base 1 to 120 matches the Rfam family "5.8S ribosomal RNA", at positions 35 to 154 of the family's 154-position model. The record is from RNAcentral.